This 496-nucleotide ribosomal RNA is filed under the name uncultured bacterium. Its description in RNAcentral is "partial 16S ribosomal RNA". It matches the Rfam family "Bacterial small subunit ribosomal RNA", at positions 28 to 507 of the family's 1533-position model. The record is from RNAcentral.
GAUGAACGCUGGCGGCGUGCCUAAUACAUGCAAGUCGAGCGAACAGACGAGGAGCUUGCUCCUCUGACGUUAGCGGCGGACGGGUGAGUAACACGUGGAUAACCUACCUAUAAGACUGGGAUAACUUCGGGAAACCGAGCUAAUACCGGAUAAUAUAUUGAACCGCAUGGUUCAAUAGUGAAAGACGGUUUUGCUGUCACUUAUAGAUGGAUCCGCGCCGCAUUAGCUAGUUGGUAAGGUAACGGCUUACCAAGGCAACGAUGCGUAGCCGACCUGAGAGGGUGACCGGCCACACUGGAACUGAGACACGGUCCAGACUCCUACGGGAGGCAGCAGUAGGGAAUCUUCCGCAAUGGGCGAAAGCCUGACGGAGCAACGCCGCGUGAGUGAUGAAGGUCUUCGGAUCGUAAAACUCUGUUAUUAGGGAAGAACAAAUGUGUAAGUAACUAUGCACGUCUUGACGGUACCUAAUCAGAAAGCCACGGCUAACUACGUG